This 251-nucleotide long non-coding RNA is filed under the name Elaeis guineensis (African oil palm). Its description in RNAcentral is "long non-coding RNA (EGUI_LNC034325)". Lineage: Eukaryota; Viridiplantae; Streptophyta; Magnoliopsida; Arecales; Arecaceae. The record is from RNAcentral.
GUUGUUCUCAUCCUAACCUCUGUGGACACCAUCUUUUAAAAGGCCUUCCUUUUGGGCAUGCCAUCAGAUUUUAUUAAGAGAGAAAAAGUGAGUUGGGGCAUGUGCUCGGGUGUGGGCAACUUCAUCUAGCAUGGAGAAAUCCUAGGGCUUCUAGGUUGGGUGUUGGGAUCAUAAGGGAAGAAAAAAAGUGUUCUCUAGUUCCUACUCAUCCACUUCAUCUUCCUCCACUUCUCUUUUUUCUCUAGAGUGUC